This 451-nucleotide ribosomal RNA is filed under the name uncultured bacterium. RNAcentral describes it as "partial 16S ribosomal RNA". It matches the Rfam family "Bacterial small subunit ribosomal RNA", at positions 28 to 507 of the family's 1533-position model. The record is from RNAcentral.
GAUGAAUGCUGGCGGCGUGCCUAACACAUGCAAGUCGAGCGGCAGCGCGGGGUGCUUGCACCCUGUCGGCGAGCGGCGGACGGCUGAGUAACGCGUAGGAAUUUGCCUCAAAGUGAGGAAUAACUGCCCGAAAGGGUAGCUAAUGCCGCAUACGGUCUUCGGAUUAAAGGAUUUAUCCGCUUUGGGAGAAGGGUGCGUUGGAUUAGGUGGUUGGUAGGGUAAUGGCCUACCAAGCCGAGGACCCAUAGCUGGUCUGAGAGGAUGAUCAGCCAGACUGGAACUGAGACACAGUCCAGACUCCUACGGGAGGCAGCAGUGAGGAAUCUUCCACAAUGGGCGGAGGCCUGAAGGAGCAACGCCGCGUGAAGGAUGAAGGCCUUCGGGUUGUAAACUUCUUUUAUGAGUGAAGAAUAUGACGGUAACUCAUGAAUAAGCACCGGCUAACUACGUG